UACAGAGGGGGCAAGCGUUGUUCGGAAUUACUGGGCGUAAAGGGCGCGUAGGCGGCCUUCUAAGUCGAACGUGAAAUCCCCGGGCUCAACCCGGGAACUGCGUCCGAUACUGGAAGGCUUGAAUCCGGGAGAGGGAUGCGGAGUUCCAGGUGUAGCGGUGAAAUGCGUAGAUAUCGGGAGGAACACCAGUGGCGAAGGCGGCUUCCUGGACCAGCACUGACGCUGAUGCGCGAAAGCUAGGGGAGCAAACAGG
RNAcentral lists this ribosomal RNA (253 nucleotides) under uncultured bacterium. RNAcentral describes it as "partial 16S ribosomal RNA". It matches the Rfam family "Bacterial small subunit ribosomal RNA", at positions 524 to 776 of the family's 1533-position model. The record is from RNAcentral.